CCUACGGGAGGCUGCAGUGGGGAAUAUUGGACAAUGGGGGGAACCCUGAUCCAGCCAUGCCGCGUGUGUGAAGAAGGCCCUCGGGUUGUAAAGCACUUUCAGUGAGGAAGAACGCCUGGUGGUUAAUACCCAUCAGGAAAGACAUCACUCACAGAAGAAGCGCCGGCUAACUCCGUGCCAGCAGCCGCGGUAAUACGGAGGGUGCGAGCGUUAAUCGGAAUUACUGGGCGUAAAGCGCGCGUAGGUGGCUUGAUAAGCCGGUUGUGAAAGCCCCGGGCUCAACCUGGGAACGGCAUCCGGAACUGUCAAGCUAGAGUGCAGGAGAGGAAGGUAGAAUUCCCGGUGUAGCGGUGAAAUGCGUAGAGAUCGGGAGGAAUACCAGUGGCGAAGGCGGCCUUCUGGACUGACACUGACACUGAGGUGCGAAAGCGUGGGUAGCAAACAGGAUUAGAUACCCGAGUAGUC
RNAcentral lists this ribosomal RNA (465 nucleotides) under Vreelandella stevensii. RNAcentral describes it as "partial 16S ribosomal RNA". It matches the Rfam family "Bacterial small subunit ribosomal RNA", at positions 338 to 795 of the family's 1533-position model. Lineage: Bacteria; Pseudomonadati; Pseudomonadota; Gammaproteobacteria; Oceanospirillales; Halomonadaceae. The record is from RNAcentral.